UACGUAGGGUGCAAGCGUUGUCCGGAAUUAUUGGGCGUAAAGAGCUCGUAGGCGGUCUGUCGCGUCGAAUGUGAAAACCCGGGGCUCAACCCCGGGCCUGCAUUCGAUACGGGCAGACUAGAGUGCGGUAGGGGAGACUGGAAUUCCUGGUGUAGCGGUGAAAUGCGUAGAUAUCAGGAGGAACACCGGUGGUGCAGACGGCUCUCUGGACCGUAACUGACGCUGAGACACGAAAGCGUGGGUAGCAAACAGG
RNAcentral lists this ribosomal RNA (253 nucleotides) under uncultured bacterium. RNAcentral's name for it is "partial 16S ribosomal RNA". It matches the Rfam family "Bacterial small subunit ribosomal RNA", at positions 524 to 776 of the family's 1533-position model. The record is from RNAcentral.